GGGUUGUGAGGUUAAGCGACUAAGCGUACACGGUGGAUGCCCUGGCAGUCAGAGGCGAUGAAGGGCGUGCUAAUCUGCGAUAAGCGCCGGUAAGGUGAUAUGAACCGUUAUAACCGGCGAUACCCGAAUGGGGAAACCCAGUGUGAUUCGUCACACUAUCAUUAACUGAAUCCAUAGGUUAAUGAGGCGAACCGGGGGAACUGAAACAUCUAAGUACCCCGAGGAAAAGAAAUCAACCGAGAUUCCCCCAGUAGCGGCGAGCGAACGGGGAGGAGCCCAGAGCCUGAAUCAGCAUGUGUGUUAGUGGAAGCGUCUGGAAAGGCGCGCGAUACAGGGUGACAGCCCCGUACACAAAAGCGCAUGUGCUGUGAGCUCGAUGAGUAGGGCGGGACACGUGGUAUCCUGUCUGAAUAUGGGGGGACCAUCCUCCAAGGCUAAAUACUCCUGACUGACCGAUAGUGAACCAGUACCGUGAGGGAAAGGCGAAAAGAACCCCGGCGAGGGGAGUGAAAAAGAACCUGAAACCGUGUACGUACAAGCAGUGGGAGCCCCACCACCAAAGCAUUCUCUGGUGUUGAAGGCCCUGCAAAGCAGCAUCGCGGUGGCGGAGCGUCGUUUGCGACGCCCAACACACAAAACAAGCGGUGAGUGCUUUGGGGUGGGGUGACUGCGUACCUUUUGUAUAAUGGGUCAGCGACUUAUAUUCUGUAGCAAGGUUAACCGUAUAGGGGAGCCGAAGGGAAACCGAGUCUUAACUGGGCGUUAAGUUGCAGGGUAUAGACCCGAAACCCGGUGAUCUAGCCAUGGGCAGGUUGAAGGUUGGGUAACACUAACUGGAGGACCGAACCGACUAAUGUUGAAAAAUUAGCGGAUGACUUGUGGCUGGGGGUGAAAGGCCAAUCAAACCGGGAGAUAGCUGGUUCUCCCCGAAAGCUAUUUAGGUAGCGCCUCGUGAACUCAUCUUCGGGGGUAGAGCACUGUUUCGGCUAGGGGGUCAUCCCGACUUACCAACCCGAUGCAAACUGCGAAUACCGAAGAAUGUUAUCACGGGAGACACACGGCGGGUGCUAACGUCCGUCGUGAAGAGGGAAACAACCCAGACCGCCAGCUAAGGUCCCAAAGUCACAGUUAAGUGGGAAACGAUGUGGGAAGGCUCAGACAGCCAGGAUGUUGGCUUAGAAGCAGCCAUCAUUUAAAGAAAGCGUAAUAGCUCACUGGUCGAGUCGGCCUGCGCGGAAGAUGUAACGGGGCUAAACUGUGCACCGAAGCUGCGGCAGCGACGCUUAUGCGUUGUUGGGUAGGGGAGCGUUCUGUAAGCCUGCGAAGGUGUCCUGUGAGGGAUGCUGGAGGUAUCAGAAGUGCGAAUGCUGACAUAAGUAACGAUAAUGCGGGUGAAAAGCCCGCUCGCCGGAAGACCAAGGGUUCCUGUCCAACGUUAAUCGGGGCAGGGUGAGUCGACCCCUAAGGCGAGGCCGAAAGGCGUAGUCGAUGGGAAACGGGUUAAUAUUCCCGUACUUGGUGUUACUGCGAAGGGGGGACGGAGAAGGCUAUGUUGGCCGGGCGACGGUUGUCCCGGUUUAAGCGUGUAGGCUGGUUUUCCAGGCAAAUCCGGAAAAUCAAG
RNAcentral lists this ribosomal RNA (1621 nucleotides) under Salmonella enterica subsp. enterica serovar Kentucky. Its description in RNAcentral is "partial 23S ribosomal RNA". It matches the Rfam family "Bacterial large subunit ribosomal RNA", at positions 1 to 1554 of the family's 2925-position model. Lineage: Bacteria; Pseudomonadati; Pseudomonadota; Gammaproteobacteria; Enterobacterales; Enterobacteriaceae. The record is from RNAcentral.